AAGGAGAAGGGGAUCCCGGAGUGAAGUGAGCGAGGAAACGCCCAGGAACGCCAGGAGUCAGCGGCGAUGGCGCAGCCUGGAACCGACAGGCGUGCCCGGCGGGAAGCGGCCGAUCGCAGUCAGGCCUCCCGCAUCAGGCGGGUCAGAAUGGGGCUCACAGCUUUCCAGACAACCCUACGUGAAGCAACAAUGGAAGCAGACGCAGUUUAACAACAAAGCAUUUC
Unclassified non-coding RNA from Marmota marmota marmota (Alpine marmot), 224 nucleotides. Lineage: Eukaryota; Metazoa; Chordata; Mammalia; Rodentia; Sciuridae. The record is from Ensembl.